Molecule: long non-coding RNA, 375 nt
Filed under: Chinchilla lanigera (long-tailed chinchilla)
Lineage: Eukaryota; Metazoa; Chordata; Mammalia; Rodentia; Chinchillidae
Description: lncRNA (ENSCLAG00000027971.1)
Source: RNAcentral
CCUCCUGCUCUCCGUGGCUCACUUUCGGUGGAAUUCUUAUCUGCAACACCAGCAACAAAGCAGAGAUGUAAUAAUGAUCCCGGGAAAGGAAGUCACUGCAGAGAUUAAGGAAGGGGAAGUUCAGGGCCCAUCCCACCAGCCACACAACAAAUUGGAAUGGGAGAUUUUACAAACAAACUCAAGUCUGCUGAAACUGCUGUGUAAGAAUUAACACACAGAGGGUAAAGAGGAUGGGGACAGGCAGAAAGAAUGGAGGCAAAAGAAAAGCAGACUACAAGUGAGGUGACUUGCCACUUUAAUUUUCCUCCGGGGUGACAGAACCUCUGUGACAGGUAGGUUAUUUUGGUUCUUCAUUAGGACUCUUAUUAAUAAUGG